ACCAGAUUGUGCCACAUCAGGCUUAGCAACCUUUCAUACGUUGUUGUUCAUGUUAUGAAAACGACUCAAACAUGACGUUGUUUACACUUAUAUCGAGUAGUUUUGUAAAAACUUAUUUCUAUAUUCUUGUCUUUUCAUUAUUCGGACGCAAUCUGCACAGUCACUUCUUCCAGUCCCCGCUGUCACACAACCAGGAGGUCAGCUGUUUUGGGGAGGGAGGUGACGGAGACACGGGAGACAACUGGGUGGUUGUCUGCUCAGGCGAUCACUGGGAGCGGAACGAGCCGAUCAGGCUGCGGCACCAGGACACAGACGCCUACCUGCACCUCACGGGCGACUCGUACGGACGCCCGAUCCACGGACAGAAGGAGGUGAGCGGCUACGCGAGCCCGCACCCGGGCAACUACUGGCGCACGCAGGAGGGAGUCUACAUGAUGCCGAAGAGAACCGACGUCGUAUGAGACGACGGCCACGUGGCUAGCCUGCGUGCAGUGCUAGCAGGACUGCUAGGUUAGCACGCGUAGACUAGCCUGCAUGGCUAGUCUGCAGUGCUAGCAGGACUGCUAGGUUAGCACGCGUAGACUAGCCUGCAUGGCUAGUCUGCAGUGCUAGCAGGAAUGCUAGGUUAGCAUGCGUAGACUAGCCUGCAUGGCUAGCCUGCAGUACUAGCAGGACUGCUAGAACUGCGGUGCUUGCGUGCUAGCAUUGCAGUGGGAGUCGGACUGGGGUGCAUUCUGUGAUCACAAACUACCGGAUGCUUCUUUCUAAACUUGCCCGAACAGUUAGAUCAAGAAGAAAACCAAUGUACAAACAGGGCAAACGUAUCCUGUCAAUUAGGAAAGUGUUCUGUGUGUCAGCGUUGGUUCACAAAUGGGGGUAGGGUUUUGUUUACUUAAUAGUGCACGAGAAAAUUUGGUCCAUUUUGAUACUUCAACACUAUCAUUCCGUACAAGAUUGGUCGAAUAUUGUGACAUGCACACCAAAACUUGUUUACGCGAGAUUAAAUAGUAUAAUUUUACGAAAUCGGUCUGAUUCAAAACCAGAAUAGUACAACUUGUGUCAUCACUGCGAGGGGCAGCACAAGAAGUGUUAUCAAUUGUUAGCAAUAAAUGUCCAAUGGCUGUCUUUAAAAUCAAGUUUUUAUUUCUUUCUGAAGAAUAUUUAACAACAAAAUUAGGUUUAAUAAUUUGAACAUAAUUACAACUCGAUUCAACCAAGAAGACGGCUUACGACCAGGUGUGUGUUAACCUUUAAGUUAAUUUUCUUCAUGCCAGUUCCAAAAUUGGUUUGACUGUCGCAUGUCAGUCUGUAUGUACGUACGUAUACAUAUGAAAAAGAAAGGUAUGUUGUACUAGUUAUUGGUGGUAUAAUCAAUAUAUCACAGGUGCCUCUGUUUUUAUUGAGGUUACAUUAUGUGUAUCACAGAACCUUUGUGAAGAGGGCAGUUUGAGAUAUUUUGGAGUUUCAUAGCUUUGGGAGUAACGGCAUCAUAUUUUAACUUUGUCAGUGCAAUUUUCACUUGUGUCUGCUUCUUGUAAUCCGUGUGCGUGUUGAUAACUUUUUAAUAAAUGUUGGACAAAUGUCAAAAUAGACAUUGUUGACCACAAACUAGAAA
This 1615-nucleotide unclassified non-coding RNA is filed under the name Priapulus caudatus. RNAcentral describes it as "stromal cell-derived factor 2-like, transcript variant X2". Lineage: Eukaryota; Metazoa; Priapulida; Priapulimorpha; Priapulimorphida; Priapulidae. The record is from RNAcentral.